This 164-nucleotide ribosomal RNA is filed under the name uncultured bacterium. RNAcentral describes it as "partial 16S rRNA". It matches the Rfam family "Bacterial small subunit ribosomal RNA", at positions 355 to 511 of the family's 1533-position model. The record is from RNAcentral.
UAGGGAAUCUUCCACAAUGGACGAAAGUCUGAUAGAGCAACGCCGCGUGAGUGAAGAGGGGUUUCGGCUCGUAAAACUCUGUUGUUAAAGAAGAACAUAUCUGAGAGUAACUGUUCAGGUAUUGACGGUAUUUAACCAGAAAGCCACGGCUAACUACGUGCCAG